AAAGAAACUAACGAGGAUUCCCAUAGUAACGGCGAGUGAAAGGGGAAGAGCCCAGCGCUGAAUCCAUCGAUCACUGGUCGCUUGGAAUUGUAGCGUAUAGGUGCGGCUAUCCGCUCGUUUCGUGCACCCAAAGUCCCCUUGAGCGGGGCCAUAGUCCAAAGAAGGUGCUAGACCUGUACGGGUGGCGAGGCGGUCGGUUGGUCGCUCCUUGGAGUCGGGUUGCCUGGGAUCGCAGCCCAAAGUUGGUGGUAGACCUCAUCUAAGGCUAAAUAUGGCCACGAAACCGAUAGCAAACAAGUACCGUGAGGGAAAGUUGCAAAGAACUUUGAAGAGAGAGUUCAAGAGGGCGUGAAACCGCCGAGAUUGAAACGGAUAGAGUUGACGAAACUCGAUCGCAUUCAUCCGAUCCGCCUAGCGGUUCGGCGGUUGUUGACUUCCUCGAUGAGGGCAACGCCGUCGCUGGCUGUUGGGUGUUAGAUUGGUGUAUUUGCGGUCGGUAUGCGCCGAGAGCUUUGCGAGCGCAUGUUGACGUUGAUGUAGUGGACCACUCCCUCCGGGCGUGGAACCCUGCAUUGAUUGAGGCAUGUCGUUCGUAGGGUGUUGCUGGGUGACGUCUCCGCUAUGGUGGGUCGGCUUUGUUGGGCUGUUGCGGUUGCUGGGUGAUCGCAUGCGAGCGCCUGCAGCUUGCGAUGGUACGAUGAGGUGCGGACGCGCUUGAGACGUGCAUCUCGGUGUGAACGUUGACCACCUAUCCGACCCGUCUUGAAACACGGACCAAGGAGUCUAGCAUAUGCGCGAGUCAUUGGGUGGUAAACCUAAAGGCGUAAUGAAAGUAAAGGUCGUCUUGUUACGGCUGAUAUGGGAUCUGUGCGGUUUUCGAGCCACGCAGCGCACCAUAGCCCCGUCCCGGUUGCUUGCAAUGGGGCGGAGGUAGAGCGCAUACGCUGGGACCCGAAAGAUGGUGAACUAUGCCUGAGCAGGAUGAAGCCAGAGGAAACUCUGGUGGAAGUCCGAAGCGGUUCUGACGUGCAAAUCG
This 1036-nucleotide ribosomal RNA is filed under the name Pseudoterranova decipiens (codworm). Its description in RNAcentral is "LSU rRNA". It matches the Rfam family "Eukaryotic large subunit ribosomal RNA", at positions 58 to 900 of the family's 3401-position model. The record is from RNAcentral. Lineage: Eukaryota; Metazoa; Nematoda; Chromadorea; Rhabditida; Anisakidae.